Molecule: ribosomal RNA, 254 nt
Filed under: uncultured bacterium
Lineage: Bacteria
Description: partial 16S ribosomal RNA
Rfam family: Bacterial small subunit ribosomal RNA
Source: RNAcentral
UACGUAGGGGGCAAGCGUUGUCCGGAUUCAUUGGGCGUAAAGAGCUCGUAGGCGGCUUGGCAAGUCGGGUGUGAAACCUCCAGGCUCAACCUGGAGACGCCACCCGAUACUGCCAUGGCUAGAGUCCGGUAGGGGACCACGGAAUUCCUGGUGUAGCGGUGAAAUGCGCAGAUAUCAGGAGGAACACCGGUGGCGAAAGCGACUUCCUGGACCAGUACCGACGUUCAGGCACGAAAGCGUGGGGAGCAAACAGG